AUUUGUUUAAUAUAAAUAAAAUAUAUUUGACUUCCAAUCAAACAAUCUAGAAAUAGCACAAAUA
Molecule: transfer RNA, 64 nt
Filed under: Hemisodorcus sinensis
Lineage: Eukaryota; Metazoa; Arthropoda; Insecta; Coleoptera; Lucanidae
Description: tRNA-Gly
Source: RNAcentral